GGAAGGAUCAUUAAAGUCAGGCUUUUGAGAGGGCUUGAUUGUGGCACAUAGGCUUAGUGCUGCGGUUCCCCUGUGGUGGGGGUCCUGCAGUGCGACAUCGGACAAUGGACAUGUGGUGCUGCGGUUCCCCUGUGGUGGGGGAUACCGCAGCGGGGGGGAAUGUUGCACCCCAAAGAUUUAGCCCGCCGCAUACGGUACGACUAUGCUUGCUGUUGCGGUAAGGGCGGUCUUUGAAGGCUGGGAAAAAAAAGUGACAAAAAUCGCGGCCCCUAAAAUCUCAGCCCCGCGUACUUGGCUUUGUGAGCAUAGUAAUUGUCCUUAUCUACAACCGUCAACGAUGAAUGACUCGGCUAUCACGUCGAUGAAGAGCGUAGCGAAGUGCGAAAAUUAGUGCGAUCUGUAGCUGCGUGACGCAUCGAGUUCUUGAACGCAUUGUGCCUUGGGACGCGAGUCUCAAGGUGUGUCUGGUUGGGUGUCCGUACGAUAUAAACCCCCGCCGCAAUAGCGGUGCUUCAAUGGGGCAAAGUUAUGGAGUCGGCGGUAUCGCCGAACUUCAUUAAGGCUCAAGUAGCUGUACUCUCUUGUCAGUAGUCGUAUGCGCGCAGCAAAGCAGUAACGACGAAACUUGAGGGCGGCGAAAGACCCUCGGGAAAGGGCGGCGGUCGAUCCUGGCAGCGGGAUCGAUCGUCGGCGGUCGAUCCUGGCAGCGGGAUCGAUCGUCGGCACCGUCAAGUACCGAAGAGUUAAUUCUCUAACAUCGAUGUAUCGGACCUCAGCUCAGGCAUGACCACCCGCUAAACUUAAGCAUAUUAGUAAGCGGAGGAAAAGAAACCAAAGGGGAUCCUCUUAGUAACUGCGAGUGAAGAGGGGAGAGUCCAGGCUGAAUCCAAUGUCCGUUAGGGCGGCGGAGUUGUGGCCUUUGAUCUGCGGAGGAAGCUGCGUAAGGAAGGCGAAGUUCCCUGGAAUGGGACGCUAUAGAGGGUGAGAGCCCCGUAGUCUUUCGAGUGCGGUGAACGAAGCGGAUUUAGAGUCAGGCUGCUUGGGAACGUAGCCUAAAGUGCGAGGUGUGACCCUCGUAAGACUAAAUACCGGGUGAUAGACCGAUAGCAAACAAGUACCGCGAGGGAAAGUUGCAAAGCACUCUGAAGAGAGAGUCAAAAGUACCUGAAGUCGUUGACGGGGAAGCGGUUGAAUGAGCUAGAAAGGUGCCGUAGUUCACCCUUAGUGCGCUGGGGCAGUGCCGAUGGAAAGACCUGCAGCGGGUCUGAAGUCGGUACUUAAAAGGCGGCUAGGGGGCAUUCUAUGGUGCCUACUCGGCACAUACCUUCUUAUCUAGGGAAGAAGGUUCGGACGGUAGUUGCAUAAGCGGCGAUAUACGGACUUUGAUAUGGGUGAGAUAGUAGGGAUAAAACCGGUGCUGUAAGGCUGGGGCAUGGGUUCGGUACGGUUGCAAAGCCGCUGAUGACAGCUUGCUGUUGUUGGUGAGCCUAGUGGCCUGCCGGGCCUUGUCACAAUGCCGGUUAGUGGCUGGGGUACGGCGAAUUUAGCUGUCCCGUCUUGAAACACGGACCAAGGAGUUUAACAUUUGUGCGAGUCUACGAGUCGGCAAACUUCGAAGGCGAAGUGAAAGCGAAAAGGGCGAGGCGGAGUCUGCGGACGAAGCUGCAGCCUUCAUGUACCUUAAGCUACGGCAAAAGGUUUCAGUGGUAGCAUGUCUGUUAAGACCCGAAAGAUAGCGAACUAUACCCGCUUAGGAUGAAGCCAGGCGAAAGCCUGGUGGAGGUCCGUAGCGGUACUGACGUGCAAAUCGUUCGUCAAAAGUGGGCAUAGCGGCGAAAGACUAAUCGAGCUAUCUAGUAGCUGGUUCCACU
Molecule: unclassified non-coding RNA, 1871 nt
Filed under: uncultured fungus
Lineage: Eukaryota; Fungi
Description: sequence contains 18S rRNA gene, ITS1, 5.8S rRNA gene, ITS2, 28S rRNA gene
Rfam family: Eukaryotic large subunit ribosomal RNA (bases 768-1871)
Source: RNAcentral